Molecule: ribosomal RNA, 645 nt
Filed under: Triticum aestivum (bread wheat)
Lineage: Eukaryota; Viridiplantae; Streptophyta; Magnoliopsida; Poales; Poaceae
Description: partial small subunit ribosomal RNA
Source: RNAcentral
AUGAAGGGGUCGACAUCUUCAGGAUGGAGGGAGCAGGUAGGAUGCCGUGGGGCAAGGACAGCGCCAUCGUCGAGCCAGCAUCGCCCGCUCUAUGGAAGUGACCUCGCGGGCGCCGACAAGACGAAGGGCAGCGAGCCCUGGGCGAAGAUCACCGGCGAGGUGCGCUACAUGGAUGUUGAUUCUUGCAAGGGGACUGAAAUACUUCCAGACUUUGAUUGGAGUAUACCUCCAUCCUCCCAUGAUGUUGUUUUCAGUGGCAUUGACACUAGUGACCAAUGUUGUCACUUUCUGAACCCAACAAGAAGAGUUUGCUGUGAGGGCUAUGACUAUGGUCGUAGAUUUCUUGUCUGUCUUGUUGAGGGUUAUGGUACAUGUGCUUAUCUGAAGUGGGUGGACAAAGAAUGGCAGGGGAGGCCUAGGCAGGUGAUUGGCAAACUUGCUGAAGAGAAUGUGGCUCUUCAGAAAUUUGUCUUGGACAAGGAUGCUGAAAUUAUGAGGCUGAAGGAAGAGAGGAAGGCCAUGAUCAUGAAGCACAAGAAGGAGAUCAGAACUAGGGAUAGGAGGGAAAUUUGGUUAGCCUGUUUGGUCUGCUGCUCUACACUGUUGUAUGGUGUUGUAGCUCUAGUGAUAAGAGGUUUUGUGUAA